GCGGCCUAUCAGGUAGUAGUGGGUCUAAUGUACCUACUAGCCUACGACGGGUACGGGUUGUGAGAGCAAGAGCCCGGAGAUGGAUUCUGAGACACGAAUCCAGGCCCUACGGGGUGCAGCAGGCGCGAAAACUUUACAAUGCCGGCAACGGCGAUAAGGGAACCUCGAGUGCCAGGUUACAAAUCUGGCUGUCGUGAUGCCUAAAAAGCAUUGCAUAGCAAGGGCCGGGCAAGACCGGUGCCAGCCGCCGCGGUAACACCGGCGGCUCGAGUGGUAACCGUUAUUAUUGGGUCUAAAGGGUCUGUAGCCGGCCGGAUAAGUCUCUUGGGAAAUCCAGCAGCUCAACUGUUGGGCUUUCAGGAGAUACUGUCUGGCUCGAGGCCGGGAGAGGUGAGAGGUACUUCAGGGGUAGGGGUGAAAUCUUGUAAUCCUUGAAGGACCACCAGUGGCGAAGGCGUCUCACCAGAACGGACCUGACGGCAAGGGACGAAAGCUAGGGGCACGAACCGGAUUAGAUACCCGGGUAGUCCUAGCCGUAAACGAUACUCGCUAGGUGUCGGCCACGGUGCGACCGUGGUCGGUGCCGUAGGGAAGCCGUGAAGCGAGCCACCUGGGAAGUACGGCCGCAAGGCUGAAACUUAAAGGAAUUGGCGGGGGAGCACUACAACGGGUGGAGCCUGCGGUUUAAUUGGAUUCAACGCCGGAAAUCUUACCGGGACCGACAGCAAUAUGAAGGCCAGGCUGAAGACUUUGCCGGAUUAGCUGAGAGGUGGUGCAUGGCCGUCGUCAGUUCGUACUGUGAAGCAUCCUGUUAAGUCAGGCAACGAGCGAGACCCACGCCCACAGUUGCCAGCGUACUCUCCGGAGUGACGGGUACACUGUGGGGACCGCCGCUGCUAAAGCGGAGGAAGGAAUGGGCAACGGUAGGUCAGUAUGCCCCGAAUAUCCCGGGCUACACGCAGGCUACAAUGGUUGGUACAAUGGGUAUCUACCCCGAAAGGGGAUGGAAAUCUCCUAAAGCCAAUCUUAGUCCGGAUUGAGGGCUACAACUCGCCCUCAUGAAGCUGGAAUCCGUAGUAAUCGCGUUUCAACAGAACGCGGUGAAUACGUCCCUGCUCCUUGCACACACCGCCCGUCAAACCACCCGAGUAGGGUUUGAAUGAGGGCGCUUCCUCUGGAGGCGUUCGAAUUUGAGCUCUGCAAGGGGGGUUAAGUCGUAACAAGGUA
RNAcentral lists this ribosomal RNA (1227 nucleotides) under metagenome. Its description in RNAcentral is "bacterial SSU rRNA". It matches the Rfam family "Archaeal small subunit ribosomal RNA", at positions 217 to 1445 of the family's 1478-position model. The record is from RNAcentral.